RNAcentral lists this transfer RNA (63 nucleotides) under Gorpis humeralis. Its description in RNAcentral is "tRNA-Thr". It matches the Rfam family "tRNA". Rfam says of the family: Transfer RNA (tRNA) molecules are approximately 80 nucleotides in length. Lineage: Eukaryota; Metazoa; Arthropoda; Insecta; Hemiptera; Nabidae. The record is from RNAcentral.
GUUUUAAUAGUUUAAGAUAAAAUAAUGAUCUUGUAAAUCAAUGAUGGGCUUGCCUUUAAAACU